ACUGGUGCUAUUAUGAAAUGGAGAUAGAAUUAUAGUUUCUGUAUUUAACUGUGAGUUCUUGAGAAAAUGUUUUGAUUCAGUUCAUUGUUGGUGGGUUUAUUUUGGGUGGAGAUUGAAUUACAGUUCGGAGUGAAGUAUAAUUCUAUAUGGGUGUUGCAGAUGGGGUUUGAGAUUGUAUUGCAGUUGAGUUUGCAUAUAGUGUUGCUGUCAGUGAUUCUGUCAUGCAACUGUUAUGAAUUUAGUUGUGUUGGUGUUGAUAUUGAUGUUACAGGGGAGGAGAUGUGUGGUAGUUCUGUAGCUAUAGGUGAUGUUUAGGGUUGUGAGAAUGGGUUUGUUAGUGAUUAGUGAAUGGUGGUAGUGGUGCUGGUGUUACAGCUCAUGGGGUUGGCAGUGAUGUUGAAGCUCAAGGGAUGUGAAUGAACUGUAGUUGAGAUGGUAUUGGUGAAUAUAUGAUGGAGUUGUAAUUAUAAAGUGAUGAUGUACUACAGAGAUGGAAUUGAGGUGAUAAUGAAGUUGUUUGUGUUUUUGGUGGUAUUGAAAUUGAUAGUGGUGUUGAGAGGUGUUGGUAAAUCGCAGUAAGAAUUGUGGAGUUGAACUCAGUUGAAGUAGUUUGUGGUUUGUGUAGGACUCUUGGAGUUGGUCUGUGCAAUUAAAAGGUAUAAGCUGAGUUGGUUGUAAUGCUGUCAUAGUAAAGGGUUUAGUGAAAGCUACAAUUGCAGUUUCAGAGACAGAUCAGGGUUGCGCAGUGGAAGCUUUGCGGCGUUGAGUCUUCUGCUAAGUUUAUUAUGUUGUAUAUUCUGUUUGCAAACCAAAUGACAAUUGUAUAUGUAUCAUUUGAGAGGAAUUUUUAUUUAUAUAUUUCUGAACGGGGCUAGAUUUUGGGUUAAGUUUUGUUGCAGAUUUAUUAAUUGAAUGUUUAAGUAAAUGAUUA
Molecule: long non-coding RNA, 931 nt
Organism: Papaver somniferum (opium poppy)
Lineage: Eukaryota; Viridiplantae; Streptophyta; Magnoliopsida; Ranunculales; Papaveraceae
Exons: 2
Source: RefSeq, a predicted model, not a curated record